RNAcentral lists this ribosomal RNA (213 nucleotides) under Triticum aestivum (bread wheat). RNAcentral describes it as "partial small subunit ribosomal RNA". The record is from RNAcentral. Lineage: Eukaryota; Viridiplantae; Streptophyta; Magnoliopsida; Poales; Poaceae.
AUGGAAGGCUUGCUGCCGUUCCUGUACAGGGCCAUCAUCCUCCACUACGCGGAAGGCGGGUGGCGGACGGACACCGGAGACAACCCCUUCCUCGACGGCGACUCGCCAUCGGCCUCUCAGUACUACUACGUCCGCCUCACUGGCAGCCCUGACGACUCCAGUCAACUAGGGUUUGCCGCCGCUCCUCCGGCCAGCCACGGCGCGGUCCUGUGA